RNAcentral lists this ribosomal RNA (466 nucleotides) under uncultured bacterium. Its description in RNAcentral is "partial 16S ribosomal RNA". It matches the Rfam family "Bacterial small subunit ribosomal RNA", at positions 28 to 507 of the family's 1533-position model. The record is from RNAcentral.
GACGAACGCUGGCGGCGCGCCUAACACAUGCAAGUCGAACGAGCGAGAGAGAGCUUGCUUUCUUGAGCGAGUGGCGAACGGGUGAGUAACGCGUGAGGAACCUGCCUCAAAGAGGGGGACAACAGUUGGAAACGACUGCUAAUACCGCAUAAGCCCACGACCCGGCAUCGGGUUGAGGGAAAAGGAGCAAUCCGCCUUGAGAUGGCCUCGCGUCCGAUUAGCUAGUUGGUGAGGUAACGGCCCACCAAGGCGACGAUCGGUAGCCGGACUGAGAGGUUGAACGGCCACAUUGGGACUGAGACACGGCCCAGACUCCUACGGGAGGCAGCAGUGGGGAAUAUUGCACAAUGGGGGAAACCCUGAUGCAGCGACGCCGCGUGGAGGAAGAAGGUCUUCGGAUUGUAAACUCCUGUUGUUGAGGAAGAUAAUGACGGUACUCAACAAGGAAGUGACGGCUAACUACGUG